AAGUCGUAACAAGGUUUCCGUAGGUGAACUUUUAUCCUUGCUCUCCUAGCCCGCCGGAAUUGCAAUCCCUGGUAAAUCAUUGUUGAACAGAUUUUGAUUCAGGGACCUCAGUUUGGUAGGCGAAGAUCGAGCGAUCGUUGCAAGUGGCCUGGUAAGUGUCAUUGAUUGUGUAAGGAUAACGCUUUUCGAUCACUAGAGGCCGAACACCGGCCGGUGACCAGGUCGCCGUGGCUUCGGCCCCCUAUAUUAUGAAGGAAAGUGCUGGGCAACAAAACGAACAACUGUUAACAAUGGAUAUCUUGGUUCUC
RNAcentral lists this unclassified non-coding RNA (308 nucleotides) under fungal sp. RNAcentral's name for it is "partial internal transcribed spacer region". Lineage: Eukaryota; Fungi. The record is from RNAcentral.